This is a long non-coding RNA of Bombus pascuorum, 903 nucleotides long. RefSeq lists it as uncharacterized. Lineage: Eukaryota; Metazoa; Arthropoda; Insecta; Hymenoptera; Apidae. The transcript is spliced from 3 exons. The record is from RefSeq and is a predicted model, not a curated record.
GCUUUAUUCGAACGUAUCCACGUUUCUUUCAGCCGUUCGACAUAGUUUCGACGAAGACGUACGGUCACACAAAGAAGUAUAGCUGGCAAGGGCAGGGGAAUAAAAGCGAGUAUAAAACGAAGAGGACAGGGAAGAUCGAUGAGCCUCCGCGGCUCCGCGUUACACAGGUGCACUAUGUGCACAGGUGAACUGCGGUGAUUCUACGAAAGCACGUGCACGAUACUAAACAGAUGAGAGAGGUAUAUAGAGGGACGAGAAAAGAUACGAGGCCCAGAUAGAAGUGGCGCGUGCGCCUAUGCAUCCGGCUUAAGAAAACUUCAGACACUUCAGUGGGAAAAACGCGACGUCUUUAUGUAACCGGUUCGGACACGAGAAGUUUAAGAAGCUCCCGUAUCCGAACGGUACGAAUAAAAGCGUCUAGGGUCUAAUGGUAUGAGAUGGUGUCUUUCGCCGUUGUGCCCUGAAAAGGCGAGCAACACACGUGUUUCACACGAGUACGACGACGAGCGUUUUGUAAUUUUGUUAAUCGUUCGAGCGAGCCACAGCGAUUAAGUAAUGAUGGAAAGCCCGGUUGCAACGAGCAAGCCGAGCGAGCGCUACGAUUUUUGUUAGAUGCACUUCGAUAGGUAUCUUCUGGCUGGAAUCGGUGGCCUUCGCGAUUCUUCGAUAGUUUCGGGUUUCGUGUAAGAUGUUUCUCUUUUCGAUUGGGAUAUUAGCGAUUUACCUUGCUGUAGAUUAUUCUGAAAAUCUCAAGUACAUGAGUAUCUGAAAUUGGGUCAAUCUAUUUUCUACAGGUAAGACAUUUGGUGGAUUAUUCGAGCCAUUCAAAAGUCAAGUUCAUUAAUUUAUAAAUGUUAAUUACAUCUUGCCAAAAGGAGCUAUAUUCUGAAUGUAAAUUUACUA